GUGAUUGGAGUCACUGAUGUAGUCCUCUAAUCAGAUGAGAUGAUGUGCUCCACUUUAUGAGCCUGUUUGCCUGAGAGCUGAAGGAAUCCUGAGGAAUCCUGAGAAUCUUGAGGAAUCCUUGCUUGACUGGGAAAACUUCCAAAAUGGUUUGCAAGGUACAUUUGAAUUCUCCAACUACAUCCAGUUCUGAAAGCUUUAGGAAUUAUGAAUCCACAUGCAAAAUGAGCUCUUAGUAACAAUCGGAAGCAACCUGAGAUUUAAUGUAAGGCAUCAAAGAGAAGGAAGGGCAGCUCUGGAUCGCAAUCCCUUUUGGGAACUGAGUACUAUACCACCACUACAGAAGAACACGUUGACUACUUCUGAAGCUUGCUAAAAGUGAAGUUUGCCAGGCUCACAGCAUGGAAGGAAGCCUGAGGGACCUCUUACAGCAACUGUCAACUUGAAGCUUUAAAAGAGCAGCUGGCAAUCCAUGAGCUUAUGGCUGUUUUACUUGGUAUUUCAAAGGUAAGCUUUUGUGUAUUAAAAAGCCUACUUUGCAAAGUAACUCUUUAUAAUAUAUCCUAUUAA
Molecule: long non-coding RNA, 567 nt
Filed under: Struthio camelus australis
Lineage: Eukaryota; Metazoa; Chordata; Aves; Struthioniformes; Struthionidae
Description: lncRNA (ENSSCUG00000012166.1)
Source: RNAcentral